GGAGGGAUCAUUAACACUAUUUGGCUGUAGUGCAUGUCAGCAAUGGCAUGUCUGCAGUUCAAAUUCUAUACACACUGUUGAACUCGGUUACCUCGUGUAACCAAUCCUCCCUUUGAAUUGGAAACGUUAAUGUUAGUUUGUAGUGGGUUGAUCGGAUCGAAAGAACCAAUCAACGACUAACAUUGGCUAUCAAAGCUUGACUUUGAAGUUUCCUUUUCUUAGGCAAUUCCACUUAAAAUUUCCUCCACUAUAGAAAUGAACCCAUUUCACACCUUCGUACUCCAAUUGACUGAUCAAAGAAUGCUAAAGAAACCCGCAAGGGAAUCGAUAGCAGGACUAAGAUAAUUCUUAAACUAAGCACAACUCUUAGCAACGGAUAUCUUGGCUCUCGCAACGAUGAAGAACGCAGCGAAACGCGAUAUGUAAUGCGAAUUGCAGAAUUCAGUGAAUCAUCAAAUCUUUGAACGCAAAUGGCGCUCUCGGGAUAGACCCAAGAGCACGCCCCUCUCAGUAUCGGUGAACUUCAUCUCUCUCACUUUCUGUGUAAAAGCAGUUGGUAAGAGGAAAAUGAGUGUCUUAUGACUGUAUUCGCAAGAAUACGAAUAUAAGUCGCUUGAAAUUCACUUAAUGUACAUUUCGGUGUGCAUUUGAGUCGCUGAGAUCUCUCCUAGUACUUUUCUUAAAUCCUCGUGAUUUAAGAAUAGCUUUGAAAGCUAAACCAGUAUUAGUGACGUGGAUAAACCUUACUAUCAUUCGUGAUGGUAAAUUGAAACGUCAAUCAACUGAUAAUGGUUCGGAACGAUAAGUGAAACUUCUAGAGAAAUCAAAGCGAAACAAGAAUUACAUAGUCGUGCAAGUCACUUAGCAAUAAGUAACCGAAUCGAUCAGUCUUUCUUCUCAUUCGAUCUGAGAUGGAGCGGGAUUACCCCCUGAAUUUAAGCAUAUUAUUAAGGGGAGGAAAAGAAAAUAACAAUGAUGACCUCAGUAACGGCGAGUGAAGCGGUCAUAGCUCAAAAUGAAAAUCCAAGAUCUCAACAGGUCUCUGGAAUUGUAUCCUAUUCGACGUGCUAUCAGCGUGUGACUCAAGUACAAGUCCUUUGGAAGAAGGCAUCAAAGAGGGUGAGAAUCCCGUCUCUGACUUGAGCAAUACAAUUCACCGCGUACGAUGCAUGUUCAUAGAGUCGAGUUGUUUGGGAUUGCAGCUCUAAAUGGGUGGUAAGUUUCAUCUAAAGCUAAAUAUUGGCGAGAGACCGAUAGCGAACAAGUACCGUGAGGGAAAGAUGAAAAGAACUUUGAAAAGAGAGUUAAAAAGUACUUGAAAUUGCUAAGAGGGAAGCGCUAGAAACCAGUGUAUGGUACCAUUAACAUUUUGCCUAUUGAGAAGGGUUCAGCAGUACAUCCAGUUGGCAACUCUGGUAGUGCUGUUUGAGCUCGUAUCAGUGGGUCCGGUGUUAGUGGGACGUCAGAAUGAGUUGGAAGUGCAGGAGAAACAGUGGGGAAAGGUAGGGUACAGCAAUGCACCUGUUAUAGUCCCCAUUGAAUACUGUGCUUUCGACUGAGGAACUUCAUGGUGCGCCACUAGGCAUGGAACCCGGUUCCUAAUCGGUGACGUCGGCUUGAUGACAAUGUCAUCCUGUUGGCGUUUGCUGGUUACUGGGCUGGACUUCCAUUUGCAUCGUAUGUUGAUUCUGACUAAAUGGUUUCUAUCGACCCGUCUUGAAACACGGACCAAGGAGUCUAACAUAUAUGCGAGUAUUAGGGUGGAAAACCCAAGAUGCGCAAUGAAAGUAAAGGUAGCUUGCUACUGUGGUAGGAAUCCUAAUCACUAUCGUGAUGGGAGGCACUAUCGACCGAUCCUCACUUGUGAGCCGAUUUGAGUAAGAGCAUAUCUGUUGGGACCCGAAAGAUGGUGAUCUAUGCCUGAACAGGGUGAAGCCAGGAGAAAUUCUGGUGGAGGCUCGUAGCGAUACUGACGUGCAAAUCGUUCGUCUGAUUUGGGUAUAGGGGCGAAAGACUAAUCGAACUAUCUAGUAGCUGGUUCCCUC
This 2045-nucleotide unclassified non-coding RNA is filed under the name uncultured fungus. RNAcentral describes it as "sequence contains 18S rRNA gene, ITS1, 5.8S rRNA gene, ITS2, 28S rRNA gene". The stretch from base 903 to 2045 matches the Rfam family "Eukaryotic large subunit ribosomal RNA", at positions 1 to 961 of the family's 3401-position model. The record is from RNAcentral. Lineage: Eukaryota; Fungi.